UACUAGAGACCGGCGCACGGGUGCGUAACGCGUAUGCAACCUACCUUUUACAGAGGGAUAGCCCAGAGAAAUUUGGAUUAAUACCUCAUGGUAUAAUUGAAUCGCAUGGUUUAAUUAUUAAAGUUCCAACGGUAAAAGAUGGGCAUGCGUCCUAUUAGCUAGAUGGUAAGGUAACGGCUUACCAUGGCUACGAUAGGUAGGGGUCCUGAGAGGGAGAUCCCCCACACUGGUACUGAGACACGGACCAGACUCCUACGGGAGGCAGCAGUGAGGAAUAUUGGACAAUGGGCGCAAGCCUGAUCCAGCCAUGCCGCGUGCAGGAAGACGCAUCUAUGGUGCGUAAACUGCUUUUGUACGGGAAGAAACACUCCCUCGUGAGGGAGCUUGACGGUACCGUAAGAAUAAGGAUCGGCUAACUCCGUGCCAGCAGCCGCGGUAAUACGGAGGAUCCAAGCGUUAUCCGGAAUCAUUGGGUUUAAAGGGUCCGUAGGCGGUUUGGUAAGUCAGU
Molecule: ribosomal RNA, 508 nt
Filed under: uncultured Flavobacteriaceae bacterium
Lineage: Bacteria; Pseudomonadati; Bacteroidota; Flavobacteriia; Flavobacteriales; Flavobacteriaceae
Description: bacterial SSU rRNA
Rfam family: Bacterial small subunit ribosomal RNA
Source: RNAcentral